This 253-nucleotide ribosomal RNA is filed under the name uncultured bacterium. Its description in RNAcentral is "partial 16S ribosomal RNA". It matches the Rfam family "Bacterial small subunit ribosomal RNA", at positions 524 to 776 of the family's 1533-position model. The record is from RNAcentral.
UACGGAGGAUGCGAGCGUUAUCCGGAUUUAUUGGGUUUAAAGGGAGCGUAGGCGGACUUUUAAGUGAGAUGUGAAAUACUCGGGCUCAACUUGAGUGCUGCAUUUCAAACUGGAAGUCUAGAGUGCAGGAGAGGAGAAUGGAAUUCCUAGUGUAGCGGUGAAAUGCGUAGAGAUUAGGAAGAACACCAGUGGCGAAGGCGGUUCUCUGGACUGUAACUGACGCUGAGGCUCGAAAGCGUGGGGAGCAAACAGG